AUUGAACGCUGGCGGCAGGCUUAACACAUGCAAGUCGAGCGGGGUGAUGGUGCUUGCACUAUCACUUAGCGGCGGACGGGUGAGUAAUGCUUAGGAAUCUGCCUAUUAGUGGGGGACAACAUCUCGAAAGGGAUGCUAAUACCGCAUACGUCCUACGGGAGAAAGCAGGGGAUCACUUGUGACCUUGCGCUAAUAGAUGAGCCUAAGUCGGAUUAGCUAGUUGGUGGGGUAAAGGCCUACCAAGGCGACGAUCUGUAGCGGUUCUGAGAGGAUGAUCCGCCACACUGGGACUGAGGCACGGCCCAGAAUCCUACGGGAGGCAGCAGUGGGGAAUAUUGGACAAUGGGGGGAAGCCUGACCCAGCCAUGCCGCGUGUGUGAAGAAGGCCUUAUGGUUGUAAAGCACUUUAAGCGAGGAGGAGGCUCUUUUGGUUAAUACCCAAGAUGAGUGGACGUUACUCGCAGAAUAAGCACCGGCUAACUCUGUGCCAGCCGCCGCCGUAA
This 503-nucleotide ribosomal RNA is filed under the name uncultured bacterium. RNAcentral describes it as "partial 16S ribosomal RNA". It matches the Rfam family "Bacterial small subunit ribosomal RNA", at positions 30 to 523 of the family's 1533-position model. The record is from RNAcentral.